GUCAACGGCCAUAUCACGUAGAACGCACCUGGUCUCGUCAGCUCCCAGACGUUAAGUUGCGUCGAGUCGACCGCUUGGGAAUACGGGAUGUCGUUGGCG
RNAcentral lists this ribosomal RNA (99 nucleotides) under Aliivibrio fischeri. The record is from RNAcentral. Lineage: Bacteria; Pseudomonadati; Pseudomonadota; Gammaproteobacteria; Vibrionales; Vibrionaceae.